AGAGUUUGAUCAUGGCUCAGAUUGAACGCUGGCGGCAGGCCUAACACAUGCAAGUCGAACGGUAACAGGAAACAGCUUGCUGUUUCGCUGACGAGUGGCGGACGGGUGAGUAAUGUCUGGGAAACUGCCUGAUGGAGGGGGAUAACUACUGGAAACGGUAGCUAAUACCGCAUAACGUCGCAAGACCAAAGAGGGGGACCUUCGGGCCUCUUGCCAUCAGAUGUGCCCAGAUGGGAUUAGCUAGUAGGUGGGGUAACGGCUCACCUAGGCGACGAUCCCUAGCUGGUCUGAGAGGAUGACCAGCCACACUGGAACUGAGACACGGUCCAGACUCCUACGGGAGGCAGCAGUGGGGAAUAUUGCACAAUGGGCGCAAGCCUGAUGCAGCCAUGCCGCGUGUAUGAAGAAGGCCUUCGGGUUGUAAAGUACUUUCAGCGGGGAGGAAGGGAGUAAAGUUAAUACCUUUGCUCAUUGACGUUACCCGCAGAAGAAGCACCGGCUAACUCCGUGCCAGCAGCCGCGGUAAUACGGAGGGUGCAAGCGUUAAUCGGAAUUACUGGGCGUAAAGCGCACGCAGGCGGUUUGUUAAGUCAGAUGUGAAAUCCCCGGGCUCAACCUGGGAACUGCAUCUGAUACUGGCAAGCUUGAGUCUCGUAGAGGGGGGUAGAAUUCCAGGUGUAGCGGUGAAAUGCGUAGAGAUCUGGAGGAAUACCAGUGGCGAAGGCGGCCCCCUGGACGAAGACUGACGCUCAGGUGCGAAAGCGUGGGGAGCAAACAGGAUUAGAUACCCUGGUAGUCCACGCCGUAAACGAUGUCGACUUGGAGGUUGUGCCCUUGAGGCGUGGCUUCCGGAGCUAACGCGUUAAGUCGACCGCCUGGGGAGUACGGCCGCAAGGUUAAAACUCAAAUGAAUUGACGGGGGCCCGCACAAGCGGUGGAGCAUGUGGUUUAAUUCGAUGCAACGCGAAGAACCUUACCUGGUCUUGACAUCCACGGAAGUUUUCAGAGAUGAGAAUGUGCCUUCGGGAACCGUGAGACAGGUGCUGCAUGGCUGUCGUCAGCUCGUGUUGUGAAAUGUUGGGUUAAGUCCCGCAACGAGCGCAACCCUUAUCCUUUGUUGCCAGCGGUCCGGCCGGGAACUCAAAGGAGACUGCCAGUGAUAAACUGGAGGAAGGUGGGGAUGACGUCAAGUCAUCAUGGCCCUUACGACCAGGGCUACACACGUGCUACAAUGGCGCAUACAAGAGAAGCGACCUCGCGAGAGCAAGCGGACCUCAUAAAGUGCGUCGUAGUCCGGAUUGGAGUCUGCAACUCGACUCCAUGAAGUCGGAAUCGCUAGUAAUCGUGGAUCAGAAUGCCACGGUGAAUACGUUCCCGGGCCUUGUACACACCGCCCGGCACACCAUGGGAGUGGGUUGCAAAAGAAGUAGGUAGCUUAACCUUCGGGAGGGCGCUUACCACUUUGUGAUUCAUGACUGGGGUGAAGUCGUAACAAGGUAACCGUAGGGGAACCUGCGGUUG
RNAcentral lists this ribosomal RNA (1521 nucleotides) under metagenome. RNAcentral describes it as "bacterial SSU rRNA". It matches the Rfam family "Bacterial small subunit ribosomal RNA". The record is from RNAcentral.